This 497-nucleotide ribosomal RNA is filed under the name uncultured bacterium. RNAcentral's name for it is "partial 16S ribosomal RNA". It matches the Rfam family "Bacterial small subunit ribosomal RNA", at positions 28 to 507 of the family's 1533-position model. The record is from RNAcentral.
GAUGAACGCUGGCGGCAUGCCUAAUACAUGCAAGUCGAGCGAACAGACGAGGAGCUUGCUCCUCUGACGUUAGCGGCGGACGGGUGAGUAACACGUGGAUAACCUACCUAUAAGACUGGGAUAACUUCGGGAAACCGGAGCUAAUACCGGAUAAUAUAUUGAACCGCAUGGUUCAAUAGUGAAAGACGGUUUUGCUGUCACUUAUAGAUGGAUCCGCGCCGCAUUAGCUAGUUGGUAAGGUAACGGCUUACCAAGGCAACGAUGCGUAGCCGACCUGAGAGGGGGAUCGGCCACACUGGAACUGAGACACGGUCCAGACUCCUACGGGAGGCAGCAGUAGGGAAUCUUCCGCAAUGGGCGAAAGCCUGACGGAGCAACGCCGCGUGAGUGAUGAAGGUCUUCGGAUCGUAAAACUCUGUUAUUAGGGAAGAACAAAUGUGUAAGUAACUAUGCACGUCUUGACGGUACCUAAUCAGAAAGCCACGGCUAACUACGUG